This 851-nucleotide ribosomal RNA is filed under the name Micrococcus sp. RNAcentral's name for it is "bacterial SSU rRNA". It matches the Rfam family "Bacterial small subunit ribosomal RNA", at positions 60 to 922 of the family's 1533-position model. Lineage: Bacteria; Bacillati; Actinomycetota; Actinomycetes; Micrococcales; Micrococcaceae. The record is from RNAcentral.
AGUCGAACGAUGAAGCCCAGCUUGCUGGGUGGAUUAGUGGCGAACGGGUGAGUAACACGUGAGUAACCUGCCCUUGACUCUGGGAUAAGCCUGGGAAACUGGGUCUAAUACCGGAUAGGAACGUCCACCGCAUGGUGGUUGUUGGAAAGAUUUAUCGGUCAUGGAUGGACUCGCGGCCUAUCAGCUUGUUGGUGAGGUAAUGGCUCACCAAGGCGACGACGGGUAGCCGGCCUGAGAGGGUGACCGGCCACACUGGGACUGAGACACGGCCCAGACUCCUACGGGAGGCAGCAGUGGGGAAUAUUGCACAAUGGGCGAAAGCCUGAUGCAGCGACGCCGCGUGAGGGAUGACGGCCUUCGGGUUGUAAACCUCUUUCAGUAGGGAAGAAGCGAAAGUGACGGUACCUGCAGAAGAAGCACCGGCUAACUACGUGCCAGCAGCCGCGGUAAUACGUAGGGUGCGAGCGUUAUCCGGAAUUAUUGGGCGUAAAGAGCUCGUAGGCGGUUUGUCGCGUCUGUCGUGAAAGUCCGGGGCUUAACCCCGGAUCUGCGGUGGGUACGGGCAGACUAGAGUGCAGUAGGGGAGACUGGAAUUCCUGGUGUAGCGGUGGAAUGCGCAGAUAUCAGGAGGAACACCGAUGGCGAAGGCAGGUCUCUGGGCUGUAACUGACGCUGAGGAGCGAAAGCAUGGGGAGCGAACAGGAUUAGAUACCCUGGUAGUCCAUGCCGUAAACGUUGGGCACUAGGUGUGGGGACCAUUCCACGGUUUCCGCGCCGCAGCUAACGCAUUAAGUGCCCCGCCUGGGGAGUACGGCCGCAAGGCUAAAACUCAAAGGAAUUGACGGGGGCCC